RNAcentral lists this long non-coding RNA (622 nucleotides) under Nicotiana benthamiana. Its description in RNAcentral is "long non-coding RNA (NBEN_LNC019004)". Lineage: Eukaryota; Viridiplantae; Streptophyta; Magnoliopsida; Solanales; Solanaceae. The record is from RNAcentral.
UCGAAGUCUCCAAUUUGAAGUCCCCAAUUUGAAAUCUUCAACCCCGUCGGUCUUCAGGUUGAAGUCUUCAAAUCCGUUGAUCUUCAAGUUGAAAUAUUUAUGCCCUCCAAGUCUCAAAGUUGAAGUCUUCAAGUCCGUCGGUCUUCAAGUUGAAGUCUUCAAAUUCGGUGAUCUUCAAGUUGAACUACUUAGGCCCUCCAAGUCUCAAAGUCAAAGUCUUCAAGUUUCAGUCUUCAAAUUCAUCGAUCUUAAAGUUGAAUUGUUUAAGCCCUCCGAAUUUUUGAGUUGAAGUUUGCAAAGUCCGCCAAAUCUUCAAAGUUUUCUAAGUGUUCAAGUUGAUGUCAUCUUCGAGUUAAAUCUUUUAACUUUACAAUCUUAAGGUGGACAUAUAAGUCCCUUUGCACCUUAAGUUGGCCUCUUCGUGGGAUUGUCCUUAAAAGGAACUAUAACUUUCUAAUCUUAAGGUGGACAUAUGAGCCCCUUUCGCAUCUUAAGUUAGUCUCUCUGGUAGUCUGUCCAUUUUGAGAGUAAUCUCUCCAAGAAUCGGACCAUUUUGAGAGUAAUCUCUCUAAGAAUCCGGCCAUUUUGAGAGUAAUCUCUCCAAGAAUCAGGCCAUUUUGAG